CCUGGUGCUUAUUGCGCAAUGGAACCACUCCGAUCCAUCCCGAACUCGGUUGUGAAACGAUGCAGCGGUGAAAAUACUUGGGGGGUAGCCUCCUGGGAAGAUAACUCGGUGCCAGGU
This 117-nucleotide ribosomal RNA is filed under the name Acaryochloridaceae cyanobacterium SU_2_1. The record is from RNAcentral. Lineage: Bacteria; Bacillati; Cyanobacteriota; Cyanophyceae; Acaryochloridales; Acaryochloridaceae.